UAGAAGUAGUUAGAUGGGAGGAUUUUGUCCUACGUCCGCAGGCAAGACCACUGAAACCUGACAUAGAGCCUUUAAUUAUUCAUGGUCAUUAGUGCUGGUUGGUACCAAUAAAGACUAUUCGAUUAAGAAAUUUGAGUACACCUAAAGUCAGUUUUUUAAUCUCAGAUACUAAAUUAACUGAUUCUGAACGGUUCAUCAACAGUCGAUUGUCCCGCGAUUAAGUGACGUAUCGUUCUAUUUGAGGAAGAAACAUAUUUGCUUACGCAUACAGGACUUAGCAAUCAAUUAUUAAAUAAUUACAAAUAAAAUCAUUAUUUCAUUUCCAAGUCCUAUAUUUUUAAACAAAUGUUUCUUUAUCUCAGAACAUAGUAUUAUUAUUAAUUAUGUAUAGGUAUAACUAACUACAAUCUAUGUCAGACUUCAGUUACCCUGCACGUUCCUUCCGGGUGGUGCUAAAGGACUUAUAAAAUUAAAUAUGUAAUGUGUUUUCGUGUUAAAAAAAAUAGUACCUAUUGCCAGUACUUUAUAUAUCUCAUAUGAAGUUAAUACUUUUCAGAAAGCUGAUUCUCAAAUACGCGUCGAAAAACAAAAACCAGUUGGGCUAAAUCUUCAAAGAACCAAAAUUAAGAAAACACGAAAUAAUAUUUUUCAGACCAAAGAGUUACUGUAACGCCCCCCACAUCGCAUAGCCGCCAAAAGUGCAUUCCUGCAGCGUGCAUCGCCUCAACCUGAAUGAUGAAGAAUCUUCUAAAACCACGAGCAAUGUAAACUCAUGAAAUAUCACACCUACAACAAGUUAGAAAAGCAUAAUGAAGCACAAUCCAGAAAAAAGUUAAAAUGUCUAAUAAAUAACUAUUUAAUGCUCAAAAAAA
Plutella xylostella (diamondback moth) is the source of this 872-nucleotide non-coding RNA. The record is from RefSeq and is a predicted model, not a curated record. NCBI's taxonomy places the organism in Eukaryota, Metazoa, Arthropoda, Insecta, Lepidoptera, Plutellidae.